UGGAAUCGCUAGUAAUCGCGAAUCAGAAUGUCGCGGUGAAUACGUUCCCGGGUCUUGUACACACCGCCCGUCACACCAUGGGAGUCGGAAAUGCCCGAAGUCUGUGACCCAACCGCGAGGAGGGAGCAGCCGAAGGCAGGUCGGAUGACUGGGGUGAAGUCGUAACAAGGUAGC
RNAcentral lists this ribosomal RNA (174 nucleotides) under uncultured bacterium. RNAcentral's name for it is "partial 16S ribosomal RNA". It matches the Rfam family "Bacterial small subunit ribosomal RNA", at positions 1327 to 1500 of the family's 1533-position model. The record is from RNAcentral.